UCAUGAAAAUGGGGCUUAAGCUUGAAAGGGUACCUUAAGGCAGCCAUGUUCUCUAGGCUUAUGUCUACUGCUUUAAGAACGCGUAUUCGGAUCAGCUGAGUGUUUGUUGUGACAGUUAAUUUAAAGAAUGAUUGUUAUAUUAUAAUGUUGUUUGCAGAUGCUGGGGACUUUUAGCAAUGAAGGUAGAAAAUCAAAAAAAUUUAUGCGGGUGGAAUAUAGCGGUGAUUAUACCGUCAGACGUGACAUCUCCCUCCUUAGGGAAGUUCGGUCCCCGAACUUUUAUUAGAUUCUAAAGUGUGCCUGGCAGUGUAAGAGCUGUGUUGCUGUAGUUGGAUUUAUCUAAAUCGAGAGCUGGUUAUCUAUACUGUCACCGUGAUUUCGUUGGACGGAUAUGAUAAGGAUAAAUUAAAAGUGAGAAGAGGUAAUAGUGAGCUGAGACUGAAUUAAUAAGGAUAAAGGAUAAGUAUUUCAAUCUUAUUUUAUAAUCUUAUGAAUAUAUAUAUAUAUGAAUAAGAAUAUUAAUGUAUUUUCUUU
Temnothorax curvispinosus is the source of this 534-nucleotide long non-coding RNA. RefSeq lists it as uncharacterized. NCBI's taxonomy places the organism in Eukaryota, Metazoa, Arthropoda, Insecta, Hymenoptera, Formicidae. The transcript is spliced from 4 exons. The record is from RefSeq and is a predicted model, not a curated record.